This 1218-nucleotide small RNA is filed under the name Histoplasma capsulatum var. duboisii H88. RNAcentral's name for it is "Histoplasma capsulatum H88 hypothetical RNA". The record is from RNAcentral. Lineage: Eukaryota; Fungi; Ascomycota; Eurotiomycetes; Onygenales; Ajellomycetaceae.
AAUCCCUCCUCAUUGCUGAAAUUAAGAAGUGAAGACCUGAGCAUUGCAGCUGUUUCGAACCCUCAAUCAAGAAUCUUCAAGUUGACGGUGCACGGUUCCAUGUUUCCUGGUAAAUUGUGGUGGAUGUAAAGCUUGCGAAAGCACGGAGGAUGUCGCAGGCACCGUUCGACUGGGUGAAACUGUCUUCUUUCCACCCAACCAACUUGAAAGUUACGGCAGCAAUCUUUGGUCAUGGGUAUUGGUGGUUUCGGAAGGUCUGUGGACGGAGGAUCCAUGAGAUGUUUGUGUGCUUUGAUAGAAACGGUGAUCUUGAAUAGGCACUAGCUCUCGAGGCGGGUAAGGCUCUUGUGGAUAAGUAGUGAUGGCUUGCCGCUCGGCCUUUCGGACUUUCUGAUUUUCCGGACGCACCCUGGGGCAAGACUGGAAAUAUUGAUAACCCCUAGUUACAUGUUUGGCUUCCUGGUGAUCGGGGUUUCAUUGGCUGAGCGUGCUCAAGCGGCAAAGAGAACCACUGAUAGGUGGAAAUCGUGACUGGACUUAUGCAUUGUUUUCGCUUGCAUAUGAUGUGGAGAUAUCGACCAGUGAUGUUUCUCUGUUUUCCGAACUCCAGCUUUGUAGUGUGCGCGCUGGCAUGGAACAUGCCUUCACCAAUGUGAUGGGUUACGUGAUGCGGGUAUAAAGGGACGCUUCAUCUGCAGCAUUGUACUGUACAUAACACUGGAAGAACGUUCUUAUUUAUUUAAUCGAGGUUGCUCCAUAGCACCUCGAGGAGAGAAGGAAUCGCCGCUGGACUUGAAGGGCAAAUAUAUCACUUAAACGGAAAUCAACCAAGGCUACAUCUUCAUUGAUGUUCGUUCGGUGGAAAGGAAACUACGUAGUAAGUUUGUUCAUUAGCUAGCAUCUAGGCAGACAGAUAGACAUCUUACACUCGUCGCUAAGAUUUUACAGACCAGACAAGCGUCUGGGACAACAGGUGAGAUAGGCCGAAGUUGUCAAUAGAAGAUCUCAUAGCUGUUAAGGUAUUCAUUUGGCAUUCAUUUGGCAUUCCUUAUACUACGGAUGUUUUUCCCCUUUAACAAUUGCCGUGUCCAAUGGGAGAGCAUCUGUUAAUAGAGGACAAAAGGAGGAUGUGGUGAACCAAAGACCAACUCUCGAAGCUACAUAACGAGCAAUCUAUAAUCUAACUACAGAGUAAACAGGUGGAUGUCUGAUUCCUGG